Molecule: ribosomal RNA, 253 nt
Filed under: uncultured bacterium
Lineage: Bacteria
Description: partial 16S ribosomal RNA
Rfam family: Bacterial small subunit ribosomal RNA
Source: RNAcentral
UACGUAGGGUGCAAGCGUUACUCGGAAUUACUGGGCGUAAAGCGUGCGCAGGCGGUUUUGUAAGACUGUCGUGAAAUCCCCGGGCUCAACCUGGGAAUGGCGAUGGUGACUGCAAGGCUAGAGUUUGGCAGAGGGGGGUAGAAUUCCACGUGUAGCAGUGAAAUGCGUAGAUAUGUGGAGGAACACCGAUGGCGAAGGCAGCCCCCUGGGUCAAAACUGACGCUCAUGCACGAAAGCGUGGGGAGCAAACAGG